UACGUAGGGGGCAAGCGUUGUCCGGAUUUAUUGGGCGUAAAGAGCGUGUAGGCGGCCAUGCAGGUCCGUUGUGAAAACUCGAGGCUCAACCUCGAGACGUCGAUGGAAACCUCAUGGCUAGAGUCCGGAAGAGGAGAGCGGAAUUCCUGGUGUAGCGGUGAAAUGCGCAGAUAUCAGGAAGAACACCCGUGGCGAAGGCGGCUCUCUGGGACGGUACUGACGCUGAGACGCGAAAGCGUGGGGAGCGAACAGG
This 253-nucleotide ribosomal RNA is filed under the name uncultured bacterium. Its description in RNAcentral is "partial 16S ribosomal RNA". It matches the Rfam family "Bacterial small subunit ribosomal RNA", at positions 524 to 776 of the family's 1533-position model. The record is from RNAcentral.